This 1457-nucleotide long non-coding RNA is filed under the name Monodelphis domestica (gray short-tailed opossum). RNAcentral describes it as "lncRNA (ENSMODG00000043745.1)". Lineage: Eukaryota; Metazoa; Chordata; Mammalia; Didelphimorphia; Didelphidae. The record is from RNAcentral.
AAAGGAAGAGCUGCUUCCUGGAGGAUUUUCUGGGAAGAAGUGAUGGAAACAGUAAGAGAAACAGUGGAAGCUUUGAAAAGGAUGGUAACUGAGAAGAGUGAUCAACAUAGGCUAGGUUUUACCCUAAUGACAAACUCUCUCUUAUUACGACUUCUUAGCCUAGUUUUUUCUGAAGGGUGUACUAUGUUGUUGUUGUUGUUUUAGGAAAUAGAGAACACAGUAGGCCCAGAAGAACCUAUCCAGGGGAGUGGGAGGGUUCACCUUGUCCAACUUGGCCCCUACGGGAUCUUUGGAUUCAUCUUCUCCAGGAUUGAGGUGCUAGAUAUAUUCAUGAUGGAAUUGGAGCUGAAUCCAUUGCUCCUAAGGCAACAUAGGGAAAUGUCUGAGCCAGCUCAAGUUGACCCUUGGAAGACCCACUUCUCCCUCGGAAUUCCAAACCCAGUGGUCUGCCUUCAAGUGGGUGACUCCAUUCUUUUCCAGCUUAACAUUCUCCCCAACAAUCGCCGAGCUAGUCACUACCCAGUGUACCAGAAGCAGCAUCUGUUCAACAGCAACCCUCAAUGGGACUUUGGUGCCUUCAGGAGACUGAACUACUUGGUUCAAGAGACUCAUCUCAAUUUCUCUAGGUUUGCUCACGUGUUCAUGGACCCAGGCACAUAUGUGUUCCAGGAUAAUGGACUACCUGAGAGCAUCCUUAUUGUGCUGGUGAAAGAGGAAGGCUUGACCUGUGACCCUGGCACUUCUGCCAUCCAACCCUCCUCGCCAUAUCAACUGGCCAGACAUGGGAUCCUUAAACGUCAGUCGCUGAACUUGGCUCCUGAUUGGGCAACAAUUACUGGGGUGCUGCUGGUGAUUGGCUUAGGAACAGUGGUGCUGACUAUCCUGGCAUUUGUGCUAAAGCCCUCCUUCUCUGAGGUUUGCCCCAUGAAGGACUGGAAACCACGAUGGAGGAGCCUUGGGGAACCCCACAUCCCUCCCCAGUAUGUGCUUAUCAGAGAUAGACUUCAGUUCUAUGAUACUUUCAGCACUUGGGGUCCUGGGGAAGGACCAUCCACCAAUGAGAAGGAUAUUUUCAGAGGCUCAGGUACCAUCCCAGGGAGAACAUCUAUGCUGAAGACCCUGGAGGACUUCAGUGUCCGAACCUUGUAUGAUAAGCUAGAGGACCAAAACUUGCACCUGGCAUCACAGCUGAGCAAACAUAGGAGUGAUGCUCUUGCUUUUUACAAAGGAAUUGACCAACAGAUCCAAGGGCUAAAGGGAUUUCUACAAGAACUGAACCAUACUCAACUUCAAGGGCUAGAGAGGAGUGGAGAACCCAAAAGGGAAAGCAAUGUCAAGGUGCAGAAGGGCACUGAGCAGGGUGAAGAAUUCCCAAGAAGCCACAUUACAACCUUUCCAGAGGGAAAAUGGCAGCAUCAAUUAGGUGAGACUUUGGAGGGGGAAAAAGUGAGGGCUAU